GAUGAAGAACGCAGCGAAAUGCGAUAAGUAAUGUGAAUUGCAGAAUUCAGUGAAUCAUCGAAUCUUUGAACGCACCUUGCGCCCUUUGGCUAUUCUGAAGGGCAUGCCUGUUUGAGUAUCGUGAACACCUCAACUCUCAUGGUCUGCCAUGAUGAGCUUGGACUUUGGGGGUCUUGCUGGCCUACUGUCAGCUCCUCUCAAAUGAAUCAGCUUACCAGUGUUUGGUGGCACCACAGGUGUGAUAACUAUCUACGCUUGUGGUUUUCUGCCAGGUAACCUCCAGUGAUGGAGGUUCGCUGGAGCUNANAAAUGUCUCUCCUCAGCGAGGACAGCUUUUUGAACGUUUGAUCUCAAAUCAGGUAGGACUACCCGCUGAACUUAAGCAUAUCAAUAAGCGGAGGA
RNAcentral lists this unclassified non-coding RNA (402 nucleotides) under soil metagenome. RNAcentral describes it as "partial contains 5.8S ribosomal RNA, internal transcribed spacer 2, and large subunit ribosomal RNA". The stretch from base 1 to 121 matches the Rfam family "5.8S ribosomal RNA", at positions 35 to 154 of the family's 154-position model. The record is from RNAcentral.